UGUUUCGGCUAGGGGGCCAUCCCGGCUUACCAACCCGAUGCAAACUGCGAAUACCGGAGAAUGUUAUCACGGGAGACACACGGCGGGUGCUAACGUCCGUCGUGAAGAGGGAAACAACCCAGACCGCCAGCUAAGGUCCCAAAGUCAUGGUUAAGUGGGAAACGAUGUGGGAAGGCCCAGACAGCCAGGAUGUUGGCUUAGAAGCAGCCAUCAUUUAAAGAAAGCGUAAUAGCUCACUGGUCGAGUCGGCCUGCGCGGAAGAUGUAACGGGGCUAAACCAUGCACCGAAGCUGCGGCAGCGACGCUUAUGCGUUCGUUGGGUAGGGGAGCGUUCUGUAAGCCUGUGAAGGUGGCCUGUGAGGGUUGCUGGAGGUAUCAGAAGUGCGAAUGCUGACAUAAGUAACGAUAAAGCGGGUGAAAAGCCCGCUCGCCGGAAGACCAAGGGUUCCUGUCCAACGUUAAUCGGGGCAGGGUGAGUCGACCCCUAAGGCGAGGCCGAAAGGCGUAGUCGAUGGGAAACGGGUUAAUAUUCCCGUACUUGGUGUUACUGCGAAGGGGGGACGGAGAAGGCUAUGUUGGCCGGGCGACGGUUGUCCCGGUUUAAGCGUGUAGGUGUGUGUUCCAGGUAAAUCCGGUUCACUUUAACACUGAGGCGUGAUGACGAGGCACUACGGUGCUGAAGCAACAAAUGCCCUGCUUCCAGGAAAAGCCUCUAAGCAUCAGGUAACAUCAAAUCGUACCCCAAACCGACACAGGUGGUCAGGUAGAGAAUACCAAGGCGCUUGAGAGAACUCGGGUGAAGGAACUAGGCAAAAUGGUGCCGUAACUUCGGGAGAAGGCACGCUGACAUGUAGGUGAAGUGAUUUACUCAUGGAGCUGAAGUCAGUCGAAGAUACCAGCUGGCUGCAACUGUUUAUUAAAAACACAGCACUGUGCAAACACGAAAGUGGACGUAUACGGUGUGACGCCUGCCCGGUGCCGGAAGGUUAAUUGAUGGGGUCAGCGCAAGCGAAGCUCCUGAUCGAAGCCCCGGUAAACGGCGGCCGUAACUAUAACGGUCCUAAGGUAGCGAAAUUCCUUGUCGGGUAAGUUCCGACCUGCACGAAUGGCGUAAUGAUGGCCAGGCUGUCUCCACCCGAGACUCAGUGAAAUUGAACUCGCUGUGAAGAUGCAGUGUACCCGCGGCAAGACGGAAAGACCCCGUGAACCUUUACUAUAGCUUGACACUGAACAUUGAGCCUUGAUGUGUAG
RNAcentral lists this ribosomal RNA (1251 nucleotides) under Salmonella enterica subsp. enterica serovar Kedougou. Its description in RNAcentral is "partial 23S ribosomal RNA". It matches the Rfam family "Bacterial large subunit ribosomal RNA", at positions 911 to 2141 of the family's 2925-position model. Lineage: Bacteria; Pseudomonadati; Pseudomonadota; Gammaproteobacteria; Enterobacterales; Enterobacteriaceae. The record is from RNAcentral.